This 210-nucleotide ribosomal RNA is filed under the name uncultured bacterium. Its description in RNAcentral is "partial 16S ribosomal RNA". It matches the Rfam family "Bacterial small subunit ribosomal RNA", at positions 524 to 734 of the family's 1533-position model. The record is from RNAcentral.
UACGUAGGGGGCAAGCGUUGUCCGGAUUUAUUGGGCGUAAAGCGCGUGUAGGCGGCCAGGUAGGUCCGUUGUGAAAACUCGAGGCUCAACCUCGAGACGUCGACGGAAACCAUCUGGCUAGAGCCGGAAGAGGAGAGUGGAAUUCCUGGUGUAGCGGUGAAAUGCGCAGAUAUCAGGAAGAACACCCGUGGCGAAGGCGGCUCUCUGGGA